RNAcentral lists this ribosomal RNA (672 nucleotides) under uncultured Methanoculleus sp. RNAcentral's name for it is "bacterial SSU rRNA". It matches the Rfam family "Archaeal small subunit ribosomal RNA", at positions 84 to 762 of the family's 1478-position model. The record is from RNAcentral. Lineage: Archaea; Methanobacteriati; Methanobacteriota; Methanomicrobia; Methanomicrobiales; Methanomicrobiaceae.
UACGGCUCAGUAACACGUGGAUAACCUGCCCUAAGGAAGGGGAUACCCUCGGGAAACUGAGGAUAAUACCCUAUAGGUUACCGAUGCUGGAAUGCUCGGUAACUCAAAGUUCCGGCGCCUUAGGAUGGAUCUGCGGCCGAUUAGGUUGUUGUUGGGGUAACGGCCCAACAAGCCCGUAAUCGGUACGGGUUGUGGGAGCAAGAGCCCGGAGUUGGAUUCUGAGACACGAAUCCAGGCCCUACGGGGCGCAGCAGGCGCGAAAACUUUACAAUGCGGGCAACCGUGAUAAGGGAACCUCGAGUGCCUGUACAUGCAGGCUGUCUGGGUGUCUAAAACACACCMAAAGAAAGGGCCGGGCAAGACCGGUGCCAGCCGCCGCGGUAAUACCGGCGGCUCGAGUGGUGGCCACUUUUAUUGGGCUUAAAGCGUUCGUAGCUGGGUUGUUAAGUCUCUUGGGAAAUCCGGCGGCUUAACCGUCGGGCGUCUAAGAGAUACUGGCAAUCUUGGAACCGGGAGAGGUGAGGGGUACUUCGGGGGUAGGAGUGAAAUCCUGUAAUCCUCGAGGGACCACCUGUGGCGAAGGCGCCUCACCAGAACGGCUUCGACAGUGAGGGACGAAAGCUGGGGGAGCAAACCGGAUUAAAUACCCGGGUAGUCCCACCGUAAACUAUG